This 170-nucleotide unclassified non-coding RNA is filed under the name uncultured Eucasphaeria. Its description in RNAcentral is "sequence contains ITS2". Lineage: Eukaryota; Fungi; Ascomycota; Sordariomycetes; Hypocreales. The record is from RNAcentral.
CAACCCUCGCGCCCAUCCGGGCUGCGGUGUUGGGGACCGGCACAACCGCCCUCCGGGGCGGCGCCGCCCCCCAAAUACAGUGGCGGUCUCGCUGCAGCCUCCCUUGCGUAGUAGCACACCUCGCACCGGAGCGCAGCGCGGCCACGCCGUAAAACCCCCGACCCCCUUGA